Molecule: long non-coding RNA, 2957 nt
Organism: Triticum dicoccoides
Lineage: Eukaryota; Viridiplantae; Streptophyta; Magnoliopsida; Poales; Poaceae
Exons: 10
Source: RefSeq, a predicted model, not a curated record
AACCCUAACCCCAAUCCAUAGCCGCCACUCUCUCCCUCCUCCUCCUCCCUCCCUCGUCUGCCGCCGCCACUCCCUCCCUCCUCGUCGCCCUGCCUCCGCCCUAGGAGCUUCGCCGCCUCCCAUGCGCUCGUUCUCUCCCUCGUCUCCACUUCUCCGUGCUUCCGCCGCAGCCUCCGCUUCCCUCCUCACUCUCACCGGCUUCAUCUCCUCCACCUCCAUCUCCCUACCUCCGCACCUGGCUAGCACGGUCAGACCAUGCUAAGUGGACAAGAAGGCGCCAUCUCAAGAGGCAGGCCACACCUUCCAUGACGGUGCCCUGAUCUGCCGGAUCUUCCUCCUCAUCAGUCCAAAGCAGAGGAUUGGCGGAUCCGCCUCAUCUUUGGUGUCAUCGACCAGAGAAGGUGUUUUUUUCUUCUAGGCCGAUGGAUGGGGUAGGCGAAGAGGAGUGGCGGAUCUGCGUCCUCUUCGGCAUGCAGUUGUGCUCUCCAUUGUUGUGAGCUCGCCGCCUAUUGAGUUUGCUGUCGUUCUUGCACCGGUGCUGCUGCCGUGGAGGGCUUGGUUUAAUCUUGUCUACGGUGGGAUGGGGAUUCAGAGGAUAAAUUUUAUUGGCAGUAAGAAGUUAAGAGGACAAGCGUGAGACGUCACAUGCCAAGGGAGAUUUUAGUUUUUUCGUGUCUGUGUGUGCAGCUUGUCUACGGUGGGAUGGGGAUUCAGAGGAUAAAUUUUAUUGGCAGUAAGAGGUUAAGAGGUCGAGCGUGAGACGUCACAUGUCAAGGGGAUAUAGUAUUUAGUCUCUUCUAAUCUGUGAAGAGAGACUACUGGUUUAAAGGGAAUCCAUACUUUAACAAGGUUUUUUCCAAUUCAACAAAGAAAGCUAUGGAGCUUUUCGAGGCAGCAGGACAUGAUGCCGCACGGAGAUGGGGAUGGCCAUGCCCGCCCCGAUGCCGCCAGCCGAUGUCGGUGAGAGCAUCACCACCGACAACGGCUCCAACGAGCUCUCCAUGAGCUCCUGGGACGACACCAACUCCAACAUCAUGUUCUUCGCGCCUGGAAGCAAGAAGGCCAAGGUGCUCAUCAAUGGUGACAACGGCAUGGUCACCAACUUCAGCAAAAUCAAAUCCCAAUUUGGCCUGUCGAGCACGUCUUUGGACAUGCCCGGCAUGGACGGCUACUUGCAGCCGCAGCAGGACUUCGCCUGCAUAGUCUUGAGACAAGCGUGUCUGCACCACUCACCCGUGAAGCAUCACUAAGAGGCAAAGAAGAACAAGGAUUAGCAAGAGGCUAAGGAGGCUGCAAGACCUUGUGCCCAACAUGGACAAGCUAUUCUCUGGGAGAAGUCGUGCAAUGCAAUUGCUGGAAACAUGUUAAGUUUCUUCUUGAAGACGCAGCAAACAAAUAGUUCAGACAUGCUGGAUAUUGUUGUAGACUACAUCAAAGGGCUGUAGGACUGAACUGAGUGAUCAGAUCUUGAUGAGAAGCAUGGCUGAAUGCACCUCCAACCACUAGAUUUCUGUGCCAAAAGUUUGAUUGAUGUAAUUCUCAAUGCAUCUAAGGUAUUCAACACUUCCCCAUAACUUCAUAUACUUUAUGAUGCUAAUUUUGAGUUAACAAUUGCUUAAUAUUUCACCAUGCAGAUAUAUGACAUGAACAAUUUUCUAAUAUACAUAAAAAGAUUGUGCAUGUGCUAUUUGUAGUUUUUUGUACCUGGUCUAAUUUUUUAAGGCAUAUUCUUAGGAUUACAUUCUGCUUAUUAGGCAUUGUUAAUUGUUUGAUCAUGAUGUACUCCCUCCAUCCCAUAAUAUAAGAGCGUUUUUGACACUAGUGUAGUGUCAAAAACACUCUUAUAUUUUGGGACGGAGGUAGUAGAACAUAUCAAAACAAUAGGCAAACCACAAAGGGUGAUUUGGUGGAAUAUGUAUCCUGGUUACCACAAGAAAUCACUCAAGCAUGCUCGUGCCUGCAGCCCUCAGUGGCGAGACAAAGGAUUCAGCCAUGGGAAGUUUUCUUGCCAAGUACAUAUUGUUGGAUCUUGUGGCUCCUCUGUUGCACCAUGGAAUCGGCUUGACAAGCAGCGCACGUUGAACAGCGACAAGCAUGGCUAAUGACGCAACCUAACCCUAUUGGUCAGCUCUCCGUGAACACAUAGGUUCCUAUCACAUUUAUCCAGACCAAGAGAGAACUACAUAGAGGUUUGACUGAGCGAGAUGGGGUUGACGGACAAGAAGAGGAACCAGAGGGGUGUGCUCUUGCGGUGCUUGGCUUGUUCCAAGACCAUGAGGGGAAGGACUUGCUGGUGCGUGCUAUGAAUUGUUUUUGGUAUAUCUGUCUUUGAACAGGUUUAUGUGAUUGGCAGGGAUGGAACAAUGAGAGGAUCAGUGGCGAUAUUCGAAGAGUUUAAACGGUGUGGUUUGAGGAUAUCCAUUACAGGGAUCCCAAAAAACUUGGACAACGAAAUCGACAUUAUAGACAAGGCAUUUGGGUUUCAAACCGCAGUGGAGAGUGCUCAGUAGGAAAUCGAUGCGACACAUGUGGGGUUGUGAAUAUUGUGGAUGGCAUUGGUCUUGUCAAACUUAUGGGAAGGAGCACGGGCCAUAUUACUCUUCAUGCCACCCUGAGCAGCCUGAGAUGUUGACUGUUGUUUGAAUCCUGAGAUCGAUUUUCAUGUUGAAGGGAAGGGGCAUGUUGUCGUUGUUGUUGCUCAAGCCGCUGGUCAGGAGUUGAUUCCCCAGAUUGAUGACCAGAAGCGAGAGCAGGAUGAGUAUGGCAACAUGUUGUUCCUUAGUGUUGGCCUUCUUCUAUAAAGUUUACAUACAAUUCACCUGCAUGGUUAAAAAAGCUACUAUACUAAUGUAAAUGUUCCGUUCCGUUGAAUAUUACUCAUUUCUCUUACCGUUGUUGUAUCAAAACAAUUGUGUUUUGGCCUCAUUUUAUAGGAGAUUGAGAUGUGGGACAAGCUA